GAUGAACGCUGGCGGCGUGCCUAAUACAUGCAAGUCGAGCGAACAGACGAGGAGCUUGCUCCUUUGACGUUAGCGGCGGACGGGUGAGUAACACGUGGGUAACCUACCUAUAAGACUGGGAUAACUUCGGGAAACCGGAGCUAAUACCGGCUAAUAUUUCGAACCGCAUGGUUCGAUAGUGAAAGAUGGCUCUGCUAUCACUUAUAGAUGGACCUGCGCCGUAUUAGCUAGUUGGUAAGGUAACGGCUUACCAAGGCAACGAUCCGUAGCCGACCUGAGAGGGUGAUCGGCCACACUGGAACUGAGACACGGUCCAGACUCCUACGGGAGGCAGCAGUAGGGAAUCUUCCGCAAUGGGCGAAAGCCUGACGCAGCAACGCCGCGUGAGUGAUGAAGGUCUUCGGAUCGUAAAACUCUGUUAUUAGGGAAGAACAAACGUGUAAGUAACUGUGCACGUCUUGACGGUACCUAAUCAGAAAGCCACGGCUAACUACGUG
This 497-nucleotide ribosomal RNA is filed under the name uncultured bacterium. Its description in RNAcentral is "partial 16S ribosomal RNA". It matches the Rfam family "Bacterial small subunit ribosomal RNA", at positions 28 to 507 of the family's 1533-position model. The record is from RNAcentral.